GCCUCCAUAGCUCAGCGGCAGAGCGUUUGCAUGGUAAGCAAAAGGUCGCGAGUUCAAUUCUCGCUGGGGGCU
RNAcentral lists this transfer RNA (72 nucleotides) under Microcaldota archaeon. Its description in RNAcentral is "tRNA-Thr". It matches the Rfam family "tRNA". From Rfam's summary of the family: Transfer RNA (tRNA) molecules are approximately 80 nucleotides in length. Their secondary structure includes four short double-helical elements and three loops (D, anti-codon, and T loops). Further hydrogen bonds mediate the characteristic L-shaped molecular structure. tRNAs have two regions of fundamental functional importance: the anti-codon, which is responsible for specific mRNA codon recognition, and the 3' end, to which the tRNAs corresponding amino acid is attached (by aminoacyl-tRNA synthetases). tRNAs cope with the degeneracy of the genetic code in two manners: having more than one tRNA (with a specific anti-codon) for a particular amino acid; and 'wobble' base-pairing, i.e. permitting non-standard base-pairing at the 3rd anti-codon position. Lineage: Archaea; Nanobdellati; Microcaldota. The record is from RNAcentral.